Hydra vulgaris (swiftwater hydra) is the source of this 149-nucleotide non-coding RNA. The record is from RefSeq and is a predicted model, not a curated record. NCBI's taxonomy places the organism in Eukaryota, Metazoa, Cnidaria, Hydrozoa, Anthoathecata, Hydridae.
UAUUCAAAUGGCAAUAAUUUCCACAAUUAAUGAGCAAAAAUUAUUAGAGUUUAAUCGCAACAAUAUAAAUGAAGACGAAGAUUCAGGCAAUUCCCAAGAUGUAGUGGCAUUUAAAAGAGAAGAAGUCUCAAAUGUGCAAAUUUCAAAUU